RNAcentral lists this transfer RNA (74 nucleotides) under Nostoc linckia z1. RNAcentral describes it as "tRNA-Met". It matches the Rfam family "tRNA". From Rfam's summary of the family: Transfer RNA (tRNA) molecules are approximately 80 nucleotides in length. Their secondary structure includes four short double-helical elements and three loops (D, anti-codon, and T loops). The record is from RNAcentral. RNAcentral also lists the same sequence under 12 other names. Lineage: Bacteria; Bacillati; Cyanobacteriota; Cyanophyceae; Nostocales; Nostocaceae.
CGCAGUGUAGCUUAACGUAAAGCCCCAGGUUCAUACCCUGGUAUACGCGGGUGCAAAUCCCGCCACUGCUACCA